Molecule: transfer RNA, 72 nt
Organism: Camelus ferus (Wild Bactrian camel)
Lineage: Eukaryota; Metazoa; Chordata; Mammalia; Artiodactyla; Camelidae
Rfam family: tRNA
About the family: Transfer RNA (tRNA) molecules are approximately 80 nucleotides in length. Their secondary structure includes four short double-helical elements and three loops (D, anti-codon, and T loops).
Source: Rfam
GAAGGUAUAGCUCAGUGGUAGAGUGUGUGCCCAGCAUGCAUGAGGUCCUAGGUUCAAUCCCUAGUACCACCA